Molecule: unclassified non-coding RNA, 329 nt
Filed under: soil metagenome
Description: partial contains 5.8S ribosomal RNA, internal transcribed spacer 2, and large subunit ribosomal RNA
Rfam family: 5.8S ribosomal RNA (bases 1-120)
Source: RNAcentral
GAUGAAGAACGCAGCGAAAUGCGAUACGUAAUGUGAAUUGCAGAAUUCAGUGAAUCAUCGAAUCUUUGAACGCACAUUGCGCCCCCUGGUAUUCCGGGGGGCAUGCCUGUCCGAGCGUCAUUACAACCCUCAAGCUCAGCUUGGUAUUGGGCCCCGCCGCUCCGGCGGGCCCUAAAGUCAGUGGCGGUGCCGUCCGGCUCCGAGCGUAGUAAUUCUUCUCGCUCUGGAGGCCCGGUCGUGUGCUCGCCAGCAACCCCCAAUUUUUUUCAGGUUGACCUCGGAUCAGGUAGGGAUACCCGCUGAACUUAAGCAUAUCAAUAAGCGGAGGA